Molecule: ribosomal RNA, 301 nt
Filed under: uncultured bacterium
Lineage: Bacteria
Description: partial 16S ribosomal RNA
Rfam family: Bacterial small subunit ribosomal RNA
Source: RNAcentral
CAGUAGCCGCGGGAAUACGAGGGGGGCAAGCGUUGUUCGGAAUUAUUGGGCGUAAAGGGCGCGUAGGCGGUUUGGCAAGUUUGGUGUGAAAUCUUCGGGCUCAACUCGAAGUCUGCAUCGAAAACUGCCGGGCUUGAGUAUGGGAGAGGUGAGUGGAAUUUCCGGUGUAGCGGUGAAAUGCGUAGAUAUCGGAAGGAACACCUGUGGCGAAAGCGGCUCACUGGACCAUAACUGACGCUGAGGCGCGAAAGCUAGGGGAGCAAACAGGAUUAGAUACCCCUGUAGUCCCUGUCUCUUAUAC